Molecule: ribosomal RNA, 497 nt
Filed under: uncultured bacterium
Lineage: Bacteria
Description: partial 16S ribosomal RNA
Rfam family: Bacterial small subunit ribosomal RNA
Source: RNAcentral
GAUGAACGCUGGCGGCGUGCCUAAUACAUGCAAGUCGAGCGAACGGACGAGACUUUUGCUUGGCUGAUGUGAGGGGCGGACGUGUGAGUCACAGGAGUAUACCCCCCCGAUAAGACUGAUAUCACUACGGGAAAGCGGAGAUAACACCGUAUGAUAUUUUGAACCACAGGGUUCAUAGGAGAAAUACGUUGUUGCUGUCACUAAUCGAGGGAUCCUGGCUGCAUGAGUUAGUUGGUAGGGUAACGGCUUACCAAGGCGACGAUGCAUAGCCGACCUGCCAGGGUGAUCGGCCACACUGGAACGGAGACACGGUCCAGACUCCUACGGGAGGCAGCAGUAGGGAAUGUUCCGCAAUGGGCGAAAGCCUGACGCAGCAACGCCGCGUGAGUGAUGAAGGUCUUCGGAUCGUAAAACUCUGUUAUUAGGGAAGAACAGAUGUGUAAUUAGAUGUGCACAUCUUGACGGUACCUAGUCAGAAAGCAACGGCUAACUACGUG